CCUACGGGAGGCAGCAGUGAGGAAUAUUGGACAAUGGGCGCAAGCCUGAUCCAGCCAUGCCGCGUGCAGGAAGAAGCAUCUAUGGUGUGUAAACUGCUUUUGUACAGGAAGAAACACUCCCUCGUGAGGGAGCUUGACGGUACUGUAAGAAUAAGGACCGGCUAACUCCGUGCCAGCAGCCGCGGUAAUACGGAGGGUCCGAGCGUUAUCCGGAAUCAUUGGGUUUAAAGGGUCCGUAGGCGGUUUAAUAAGUCAGUGGUGAAAUCUGGUCGCUCAACGAUCAAACGGCCAUUGAUACUGUUAGACUUGAAUUAUAAGGAAGUAACUAGAAUAUGUAGUGUAGCGGUGAAAUGCUUAGAUAUUACAUGGAAUACCAAUUGCGAAGGCAGGUUACUACUUAUGGAUUGACGCUGAUGGACGAAAGCGUGGGGAGCGAACAGGAUUAGAUACCCUGGUAGUCCACGCCGUAAACGAUGGAUACUAGCUGUUCGGAGCAAUCUGAGUGGCUAAGCGAAAGUGAUAAGUAUCCCACCUGGGGAGUACGUUCGCAAGAAUGAAACUCAAAAGUAGUAAGUACGGACGCGAGAGAGACGACGACGGACGACGACGGAGGGAGGAG
RNAcentral lists this ribosomal RNA (619 nucleotides) under uncultured bacterium. RNAcentral's name for it is "bacterial SSU rRNA". It matches the Rfam family "Bacterial small subunit ribosomal RNA", at positions 338 to 1363 of the family's 1533-position model. The record is from RNAcentral.